UUCAGAUUCUACGGAGUGAGUCGGAAUUGUAGAAUCGUGUUGGAAUCGCGCGCUAAGUCGUGGAAUCGCAGAAUCGGUCCGAUUCUGCGAUUCCACGUUCAGGCCCAAUUCGGCCCAAGCCCGGGCUAGAAAGCGGGCCGAAGCCCAGACCCGGAAGCCUAGACCCGAAAUCCUCUCCCUCCCGCCCGCCCGCCCUUUCUUCCUUCUUCCCCGUCGGAUGAACCCUAAUUUCUCCCUCGUUCCAGUUCGAUUGCUUCUACGAAAUCUUCGAUGAAAUCUUCCAUUGCUUCUACAAGAUUCGACUGACGGUCCACCACUUGCUUCUUCCGACAGAUAUAUGCAUAGAGACGCUCUACCCGGGCCUCAGCCACGGCGAGAACCAGCUCCGGUGGGGCUUCAUCCGCAAGGUCUAUGGGAUCCUGGCUGCUCAGAUCCUGUUGACCACCGUCGUCUCCGCCGUAACCGUUCUCUACGCCCCUGUCAACGAGCUCCUCAGGGGAAGCCCCGGCCUCCUGCUCUUCCUCGUGUUCCUUCCUUUCAUCUGUACCUUGUAUGAUGAUGAUGUAGGUGAUGAUGAAAAUUUGAAUGAGAUUUGAUAUGGUUGUUUAUUUUAUGUUAUGAGCUAUGACAUAUGUUAUUAACUUUUUAUUUCGGGAAUUUGAGUUAUGAUUUAAAUUUUUGACCUUAAAUUUCCGUAAUUUGUAAUGAUAUUUUGUAUUUUUA
Molecule: non-coding RNA, 723 nt
Organism: Punica granatum (pomegranate)
Lineage: Eukaryota; Viridiplantae; Streptophyta; Magnoliopsida; Myrtales; Lythraceae
Source: RefSeq, a predicted model, not a curated record